GACGAACGCUGGCGGCGUGCUUAACACAUGCAAGUCGAGCGGAAAGGCCCUUCGGGGUACUCGAGCGGCGAACGGGUGAGUAACACGUGAGUAACCUGCCCCAGACUUUGGGAUAACCCUCGGAAACGGGGGCUAAUACCGGAUACGACACAGCUUCGCAUGGGGUCUGUGUGGAAAGUUUUUCGGUUUGGGAUGGGCUCGCGGCCUAUCAGCUUGUUGGUGGGGUGAUGGCCUACCAAGGCGACGACGGGUAGCCGGCCUGAGAGGGCGACCGGCCACACUGGGACUGAGACACGGCCCAGACUCCUACGGGAGGCAGCAGUGGGGAAUAUUGCACAAUGGGCGGAAGCCUGAUGCAGCGACGCCGCGUGGGGGAUGACGGCCUUCGGGUUGUAAUCCUCUUUCAGCAGGGACGAAGCGUAAGUGACGGUACCUGCAGAAGAAGCGCCGGCCAACUACGUG
This 462-nucleotide ribosomal RNA is filed under the name uncultured bacterium. RNAcentral's name for it is "partial 16S ribosomal RNA". It matches the Rfam family "Bacterial small subunit ribosomal RNA", at positions 28 to 507 of the family's 1533-position model. The record is from RNAcentral.